RNAcentral lists this long non-coding RNA (1245 nucleotides) under Mytilus galloprovincialis (Mediterranean mussel). The record is from RNAcentral. Lineage: Eukaryota; Metazoa; Mollusca; Bivalvia; Mytilida; Mytilidae.
UAGUACACCAAUAUUAAUCUUACAAAGAUAAACAUAAAUUACAAUUUAAGUUACAAUUUGAUACUCAUGUUGUAUUUAUAAAUUACUGGCACUUUAUGACAAUAGCUUUUUAACAUCACGCAUACAUGUAUAUACAAAAAAUAGCGUCAUAUAAGUUAUUUUCAAAUCGAAGCAGUUUUCGUAUUUCAUAUACGAUAUUCAUUGAAUAUAUUGUUUUGACAUUGCUGAUAAAUUGCAGAAUGAUAUUAUAUACCCUUGGUAGGUGUGAGGUCUAAGUAGUUCAACUACUGGAUCACUAGCCUGUCAUUACUAAGGUUGUGAGUUUGAAUCCAGCACGUACGUGCCAGGUGCUCUCAUUUCAAUAUUAAUUGACAAGAAUAAUCGGAUGGUCGGUGAUUCUCUCUGGACAUUCCCAUAUCCUCCACAAAUAAACGACACUAUAAUAAAAUAGCCAAUAAUUCACAAAGUGGCAUUAAAAACCAACAAGCAAUCAAUCAAUCGAUUAGUCUGAUCUCCUUUUUAUUGUAUAAACCACACCUGUGUCCCAUCUUUCUAUCAUUUACGUGAUAUAUGUAAACUUAUGUAAAUUAUAUUCUGAUAAUAUAUGUACACUGUUUGGUUAAAAAUAAUUUAUUAGAAUAUCAAACUGACCAAAGGAUUCGGGUAAUUGGAAAAUAUUUCAAUAGUCAAGAUAACAUUAAAGAAGCUGCUGCGCCAUGAGCGCAUGAUACAUACGCCAAAUUUUCAAACAAAGUUCAAUAACUUUUCAAUAUCAUAUUAGAAAUUUAUAACAAAACUAAAAGUAGGUAGUCCUAAUUCAUGUUAUAGAGUCACCAAAGAUUCAUUAGAGCUACUCAAAGAUAUUGUCCGAAAGCUGGAAAAUCACCCCUUUUUAUAACAAAAUGCUGAAACUCGGAAACGUUAAAUCUAAAACUUAUAAAAAUCGAAAGGGCAGAUAUAAACAAUUCACCAAAGUUUCAUGAAAACUGCUGAAAACAUUUUUUAAGUGCUUGCCCGAAAAUGAACAAAACCCCAGUAAACGUAAAAUCUGACUGAAGAACAGACGAACUGACAACAGACGGAAAACAACUGUUUACCAUAUUUACGUUCCAUAAAUAGUCGUGUACAAAUGUUAAAAACUUUAUUUUGACAAAAAUAUAAUAUUUUGGUUCAAACAACUUUAAUUACAGGUAAGAUUCUCAGUUUGAAAAUACUAUAAACAAUUUAAUGGCACAAGAAAAUUUA